AGUGAAUGCUGGCGGUAGGCCUAACACAUGCAAGUCGAACGGCAGCACAGUAAGAGCUUGCUCUUACGGGUGGCGAGUGGCGGACGGGUGAGGAAUAUAUCGGAAUCUACUUUUUCGUGGGGGAUAACGUAGGGAAACUUACGCCAAUACCGCAUACGACCUACGGGUGAAAGCAGGGGAUCUUCGGACCUUGCGCGAUUGAAUGAGCCGAUGUCGGAUUAGCUAGUUGGCGGGGUAAAGGCCCACCAAGUCGACGAUCCGUAGCUGGUCUGAGAGGAUGGUCAGCCACACUGGAACGGAGACACGGUCCAGACUCCUACGGGAGGCAGCAGUGGGGAAUAUUAGACAAUGGGCGCAAGCCUGAUCCAGCCAUACCGCGUGGGUGAAGAAGGCCUUCGGGUUGUAAAGCCCUUUUGUUGGGAAAGAAAAGCAGCAGGUUAAUACCCCGCUGUUCUGACGGUACCCAAAGAAUAAGCACCGGCUAACUUCGUG
RNAcentral lists this ribosomal RNA (492 nucleotides) under uncultured bacterium. RNAcentral's name for it is "partial 16S ribosomal RNA". It matches the Rfam family "Bacterial small subunit ribosomal RNA", at positions 29 to 507 of the family's 1533-position model. The record is from RNAcentral.